UACGUAGGACCCGAGCGUUGUCCGGAUUUAUUGGGCGUAAAGCGAGCGCAGGUGGUUUAUUAAGUCUGGUGUAAAAGGCAGUGGCUCAACCAUUGUAUGCAUUGGAAACUGGUAGACUUGAGUGCAGGAGAGGAGAGUGGAAUUCCAUGUGUAGCGGUGAAAUGCGUAGAUAUAUGGAGGAACACCGGUGGCGAAAGCGGCUCUCUGGCCUGUAACUGACACUGAGGCUCGAAAGCGUGGGGAGCAAACAGG
Molecule: ribosomal RNA, 252 nt
Filed under: uncultured bacterium
Lineage: Bacteria
Description: partial 16S ribosomal RNA
Rfam family: Bacterial small subunit ribosomal RNA
Source: RNAcentral